GAUGAACGCUGGCGGCGUGCCUAAUACAUGCAAGUCGAGCGAACGGACGAGAAGCUUGCUUUUCUGAUGUUAGCGGCGGACGGGUGAGUAACACGUGGAUAACCUACCUAUAAGACUGGGAUAACUUCGGGAAACCGGAGCUAAUACCGGAUAAUAUUUUGAACCGCAUGGUUCAAAAGUGAAAGACGGUCUUGCUGUCACUUAUAGAUGGAUCCGCGCUGCAUUAGCUAGUUGGUAAGGUAACGGCUUACCAAGGCAACGAUGCAUAGCCGACCUGAGAGGGUGAUCGGCCACACUGGAACCGAGACACGGUCCAGACUCCUACGGGAGGCAGCAGUGGGGAAUCUUCCGCAAUGGGCGAAAGCCUGACGGAGCAACGCCGCGUGAGUGAUGAAGGUCUUCGGAUCGUAAAACUCUGUUAUUAGGGAAGAACAUAUGUGUAAGUAACUGUGCACAUCUUGACGGUACCUAAUCAGAAAGCCACGGCUAACUACGUG
This 497-nucleotide ribosomal RNA is filed under the name uncultured bacterium. RNAcentral's name for it is "partial 16S ribosomal RNA". It matches the Rfam family "Bacterial small subunit ribosomal RNA", at positions 28 to 507 of the family's 1533-position model. The record is from RNAcentral.